ACCUGUGACAGAGGAGAAGACUUGAAUUUGUGGAGCUGGGUGUCUUGCCCGGGUCACCCCCAUUUAUCAGUUAAGCCAGCAGAGGUCUAAAGUCCUUCUGACCAGCCUUCUCCUUCAGUGAAAAGUAAAUAAGAGGACAGUGUUAAAUAUACAAGCAUCCCUGCUCCAGACUCUACGGGAAGAAAUGGUACUUUGUAAAGAAUGUACCCGGUGGAUGGAGUCAAGAACAGACAUUGACAAAUCAACAAAGACAACCAACUGCCCUUAAUCCUAUAGCAAGUUUGGGAAAACUGAGGUUUAAAGAUAUAAGUCUCAUGCCCAAGUCCUUCUCUUUAUUAAAUUUUAUUUUAUGUUUAUGUUUAUGUUUAUGAAUGUUUCCCCUGUGUGUGCGUUCAGGUACUGCAUGCAUGCAGUACCUGCAGAGCCCAGAAGAGGGGUAUCUGAUCCCCUGGCGUUAUGGAAGACUGCGACCCGCCAGGUGGGUACUGAACCUGGAUCCUGGGGAGAAGCAGUCAGAGCUCUCCACCUCUGAGCCAUGUUUCCAGCUCCUGAAGUGACUACCAACCUGGGAUCAGGCUUCUUACUUUUGUACAAGUAAUCCUUCAUGAGGAAGAGAGACAAGUCUGGAAUGCGGUGAAGUAAGCAGAGAAGAUUUUAUGGCGUUUCACAAAUUUCUCUUGGCCUCAGAGACGGCAAAAUAAUCGUACAAAGAAACCAAGCCCUUUGCCUGCAGGACAAUACAUGGGUUUUUAUUAAAAGAGGAAUUUAAAUGC
This is a long non-coding RNA of Mus pahari (shrew mouse), 773 nucleotides long. RefSeq lists it as uncharacterized. The transcript has 3 exons. NCBI's taxonomy places the organism in Eukaryota, Metazoa, Chordata, Mammalia, Rodentia, Muridae. The record is from RefSeq and is a predicted model, not a curated record.